Long non-coding RNA from Nicotiana tabacum (common tobacco), 852 nucleotides. RefSeq lists it as uncharacterized. Lineage: Eukaryota; Viridiplantae; Streptophyta; Magnoliopsida; Solanales; Solanaceae. The record is from RefSeq and is a predicted model, not a curated record.
AUUGAUCCCAUUUUUCCACUUCAAUAUCAGUCAUUUCGCUGCUUUCCUCCUUCGAAAUAUGCUCACUUUUUCUUCUCUGGUUUUUCCGCUUCUUCAUUUUGUUGUUAAUUUUCUUUUUGGGUCUUGGUUAACUCCAAGCUUUGUUUUACUAUUCUUUUUCUAUAUGUAUUCUUGGUUCGUCUGAUAUCACACAUUUCUGAAGUGUUGCAUGUGAGUAAUUUCUUUUAUUUUAAUGAAAUUUUAAAUUUUAACCUAAGAUUUGAAAUUGGGGUAGUAAAAAUUCAAUGUGAUCAAGCAACUGAAACACACAUAGGAUUUUUUGGGGUGCAAGAGGAAUAAACGGUGAAGGUUGCAAAGAAGCUGCUUUUAAGUAAUCUCUCGGCGGCUCAUAUUGAGAGGGAUAAUGAAGAUAGCUAUGCUGAUGUUCGGUAAGAUGCUUUCUGAGGAUCUUGAUUCAUGGAUGUUAAUUAUAUCUGGAUAUUCUAAAAAGGGCUUGUAAAGAGUGAAAAUAAAGGCUGAACUCAAGGACUCAAUGGUUAUAGUGCAAAGGAAAAAAAUGUGAUUUGGCUUAGAAGGGAGAAACGAAUGUUGGUGAUGGCAUGACAUCCUAUGAUGAAGUGAGAUCCUUUUCUCUUGAACUUUCUACCAGUUGCCAGCUUUACCUUUUUUAUAUGUAUCACCAUGCAAUAUUAGCACCCCUUACUUUAGAACUGAUCCACCAAUUAUUCUGUUGAGAAAUUCGUGCAAAAGAUUAUUUCACUAUUCUUGUGUAUUAAUGUACAAUGGAAACUAUAGAAUAGUAUGGUGUUUUUCUUCUUUUUCUUAUAUUAUGUCAGGACCACUUUUAUGCUU